AGGAGCCGGAUGAGAAGAAACUUUCAUGUCUGGUUCUGGAUUAGAGAUGGGAUCAAAAUAAUAUUAACCAUCGACUAUAAC
Picea glauca (white spruce) is the source of this 81-nucleotide non-coding RNA. The record is from Rfam. Lineage: Eukaryota; Viridiplantae; Streptophyta; Pinopsida; Pinales; Pinaceae.